UACAGAGGGGGCAAGCGUUGUUCGGAAUUACUGGGCGUAAAGGGCGCGUAGGCGGCCUUCUAAGUCGGACGUGAAAUCCCUGGGCUCAACCCAGGAACUGCGUCCGAUACUGGAAGGCUUGAAUCCGGGAGAGGGAUGCGGAAUUCCAGGUGUAGCGGUGAAAUGCGUAGAUAUCUGGAGGAACACCGGUGGCGAAGGCGGCAUCCUGGACCGGUAUUGACGCUGAGGCGCGAAAGCCAGGGGAGCAAACGGG
RNAcentral lists this ribosomal RNA (253 nucleotides) under uncultured bacterium. RNAcentral's name for it is "partial 16S ribosomal RNA". It matches the Rfam family "Bacterial small subunit ribosomal RNA", at positions 524 to 776 of the family's 1533-position model. The record is from RNAcentral.